GAUGAACGCUAGCGGCAGGCCUAACACAUGCAAGUCGAGGGAGGAGCUUUCGGGCUUCGACCGGCGUACGGGUGCGUAACGCGUAUACAAUCUGCCUUUCACAUAGGGAUAGCCCGAGGAAAUUUGGAUUAAUACCUAAUGGUAUAUAGAGGUGGCAUCACCUUUAUAUUAAAGCUGAGGCGGUGAAAGAUGAGUAUGCGUUCUAUUAGCUAGUUGGAGAGGUAACGGCUCCCCAAGGCGACGAUAGAUAGGGGUUCUGAGAGGGAUAUCCCCCACACUGGUACUGAGAUACGGACCAGACUCCUACGGGAGGCAGCAGUGAGGAAUAUUGGACAAUGGUCGGAAGACUGAUCCAGCCAUGCCGCGUGCAGGAAGACGGCCUUAUGGGUUGUAAACUGCUUUUGCAGGGGAAGAAUAAGGACUACGCGUAGUUUGAUGACGGUACUCUGCGAAUAAGCAUCGGCUAACUCCGUG
Molecule: ribosomal RNA, 474 nt
Filed under: uncultured bacterium
Lineage: Bacteria
Description: partial 16S ribosomal RNA
Rfam family: Bacterial small subunit ribosomal RNA
Source: RNAcentral